This is an RNA transcript of Propithecus coquereli (Coquerel's sifaka), 465 nucleotides long. It is a transcript of the gene named probable ribosome biogenesis protein RLP24 pseudogene, with no coding region annotated. The record is from RefSeq and is a predicted model, not a curated record. The transcript has a single exon. NCBI's taxonomy places the organism in Eukaryota, Metazoa, Chordata, Mammalia, Primates, Indriidae.
CUCUUGACUUCCUCUCAAGCUUGGCGUUUGGUCGGUGGGGACCCACGCGGGUUCAACAUGCGUAUCGAGAAGUGUUAUUUCUGUUCGGGGCCAGUCUACCCUGGCCACGGCAUGAUGUUCGUCCGCAACGACUGCAAGGUGUUCAGGUUUUGUAAAUCCAAAUGUCAUAAAAACUUUAAAAAGAAGCGCAAUCCUCGCAAGGUCAGGUGGACCAAAGCCUUCCGGAAAGCAGCUGGUAAAGAGCUUACAGUGGAUAAUUCAUUUGAAUUUGAAAAACGUAGAAAUGAACCUAUCAAAUACCAGAGAGAGCUAUGGAAUAAAACUAUUGAUGCAAUGAAGAGAGUUGCAGAGAUCAAACAGAAACGCCAAGCCAAAUUUAUAAUGAACAGAUUGAAGAAAAAUAAAGAGCUACAGAAAAUUCAGGACAUCAAAGAAGUCAAACAAAACAUCCAUCUUAUCCGAGCC